Molecule: ribosomal RNA, 335 nt
Filed under: uncultured eukaryote
Lineage: Eukaryota
Description: partial 18S ribosomal RNA
Rfam family: Eukaryotic small subunit ribosomal RNA
Source: RNAcentral
CCCUUAGAUGUCCGGGGCUGCACGCGCGCUACACUGAAUGAAUCAGCGUGCUAGAAAACCUUGUUUGACAUGGCUAGGUAACCCAUUGAAAAUCAUUCGUGAUUGGGAUCGGGACUUGCAAAUGUGUCCCUUGAACGAGGAAUUCCCAGUAAGUGCGGGUCAUCAGCUCGCGUUGAUUACGUCCCUGCCCUUUGUACACACCGCCCGUCGCUACUACCGAUUGGAUGGUUUAGCGAGAACUUUGGACCGGAGCUCGGGUGGUCAGCAAUGGCCGCCCGAGACAUACUGGGAAAUCGCUCCAGCUUGAUCAUCUAGAGGAAGUAAAAGUCGUAACA